RNAcentral lists this ribosomal RNA (492 nucleotides) under uncultured bacterium. Its description in RNAcentral is "partial 16S ribosomal RNA". It matches the Rfam family "Bacterial small subunit ribosomal RNA", at positions 29 to 507 of the family's 1533-position model. The record is from RNAcentral.
AGUGAACGCUGGCGGUAGGCCUAACACAUGCAAGUCGAACGGCAGCACAAUAAGAGCGCGCUCCUACGGGGGGCGAGGGGCGGACGGGUGAGGAGUACAUCGGAAUCUACUUUACCGGGGGGGACUACGGAGGGAAACUUAUGCUAAUACCGCAUACGACCUACGGGAGAAAGCAGGGGAUCUUCGGACCUUGCGCGAUUGAAUGAGCCGAUGUCGGAUUAGCUAGUUGGCGGGGUAAAGGCCCACCAAGGCGACGAUCCGUAGCUGGUCUGAGAGGAUGAUCAGCCACACUGGAACUGAGACACGGUCCAGACUCCUACGGGAGGCAGCAGCCGGGAAUAUUUGCCAAUGGUCGCACGCCUGAUCCCGCCACGCCGCUUGUGUGAAGUAGGGCUUCGGCUUGUAACACCCUUUUGUUUGGUAAGAAAGUCUGCCUGCUGCCUCCGCGCUGUUUUGCCGGUACCCAAAGCUUCAGCACCGGCUAACUUCGUG